This 247-nucleotide unclassified non-coding RNA is filed under the name Hevea brasiliensis (rubber tree). Lineage: Eukaryota; Viridiplantae; Streptophyta; Magnoliopsida; Malpighiales; Euphorbiaceae. The record is from RNAcentral.
GAUGAGCUUAAGGCCAUGUCACAAAAUGCGCUGAAGCUUGCAAGACCUGAAGCUGUCUUCAAGAUCGUUCGUGAUCUUGACGAGCUGGUUAGACAGAGAAAUUUAGUACCCCAGUAUUCCUGUGCUACUUAGCUUCCUCUUCUUCUCCUUCUUUUUAUUUUUUAGGCAAUCAUUUUUUAUAGGAGCAACGUAUAGUGGGCUAAUUAGAUCAUGGGUAUGAUUAUUUGUGGAAAAAAUUGUUUUCAUU